RNAcentral lists this long non-coding RNA (911 nucleotides) under Sinocyclocheilus grahami. RNAcentral's name for it is "lncRNA (ENSSGRG00000002294.1)". Lineage: Eukaryota; Metazoa; Chordata; Actinopteri; Cypriniformes; Cyprinidae. The record is from RNAcentral.
AUCGUAUGGACCUCUAGAAAUCUCGCGAUUUUACGGUGGCGCACCUUGAAGUAACGCAUUUUUCACGCAGGUUAUCAGCGGCAUAUGCAUUUGCAUUUUUAUCAAAAUAGUCCCAUUGACUUAUCGUAUGUCGUUUAUUGGCCAAACCUGACGUGUGAAGUAAUGGAUGGACUAUAUUACUCAGACACAGCAGUGUGCUGUAAAGCUCUCUGUGGUGUGAUUGCAGCAUUGUUUCCUCAAAGCCAUGCCCAGCGCCGGACGAUUUUCUCUCACCUUGCAGGAGAAUAUUGUGCUUUAAAACCCAGCAGCAAGCUCCAUCUGUCUAUCUUCUUACCCUGGUGAACUGCAGUGAAUGUCAGUCAUUAGCAUAUCAGGCCUUGAAUGCUAUUGAGUUUUUGGAGCUGCUCAGCUUCCCUGAGGUUAUAGCUACUCAUCACCCGAUUGGAUGGAACCGGAUCCAGAGUUAACAGAGCUUUGUGAGUUGAACUCUUUAGUUCACACCUCUGUGAGGUGUAUGGAUACACACACUCAUUCCCUCAGUUGUUUCCUCUAAUGAUGUCCCUAGGCACAUGUGCAUGGAUGUACAGUGAUGUUUGCUAGUAUGCAGUCAUGUGAAAUCAUAAUACUAUAUGCUCAUAUAGCUUAGGACUUUGUGUGUGUGUGUGUGUGCGCCUGAGGUUUUUAUGAUAUUAUGCUCACUUGAAAUCAGAUCUCACAUUCUUGUCCACACUGUCAUUGAGGUUUGAGUGAUAUGGACAUAUACAGUAUAUGCAUCUGACCUUUCAGUCUAUUAUAAGAAGAAUGCAAUUCAUCCCUCAAAAGGAACAGUGUGUGCUUAUUGCUUCUCAUGAAUUUACAAAUGGCUACAUUUAAUGUUUUCAUUCUAGACAUUCAUAAACAGUUUAGACCCA